Triticum aestivum (bread wheat) is the source of this 56-nucleotide non-coding RNA. NCBI's taxonomy places the organism in Eukaryota, Viridiplantae, Streptophyta, Magnoliopsida, Poales, Poaceae. The record is from Rfam.
GCUCAGUUGGUAAAGCACAAGGCUCUUAACCUUGUGGACGUGGAUUCAAGUCCCAC